RNAcentral lists this ribosomal RNA (468 nucleotides) under uncultured Pseudomonadota bacterium. RNAcentral describes it as "bacterial SSU rRNA". It matches the Rfam family "Bacterial small subunit ribosomal RNA", at positions 8 to 522 of the family's 1533-position model. Lineage: Bacteria; Pseudomonadati; Pseudomonadota. The record is from RNAcentral.
AGAGUUUGAUCCUGGCUCAGAACGAACGCUGGCGGCAUGCCUAACACAUGCAAGUCGAACGAGACCUUCGGGUCUAGUGGCGCACGGGUGCGUAACGCGUGGGAAUCUGCCCUUGGGUUCGGAAUAACUUCUGGAAACGGAAGCUAAUACCGGAUGAUGACGUAAGUCCAAAGAUUUAUCGCCUGAGGAUGAGCCCGCGUGAGAUUAGGUAGUUGGUGGGGUAAAGGCCUACCAAGCCGACGAUCUCUAGCUGGUCUGAGAGGAUGAUCAGCCACACUGGGACUGAGACACGGCCCAGACUCCUACGGGAGGCAGCAGUGGGGAAUAUUGGACAAUGGGCGCAAGCCUGAUCCAGCAAUGCCGCGUGAGUGAUGAAGGCCUUAGGGUUGUAAAGCUCUUUUACCCGGGAUGAUAAUGACAGUACCGGGAGAAUAAGCCCCGGCUAACUCCGUGCCAGCAGCCGCGGUA